Acanthosepion pharaonis is the source of this 113-nucleotide non-coding RNA. Lineage: Eukaryota; Metazoa; Mollusca; Cephalopoda; Sepiida; Sepiidae. The record is from the annotation of a GenBank genome assembly.
UACGGCCACAUCCCGUUAAAACAUUGGUUCCCGUAUGAUCAAGGAAGUUACGCAACGUCGAGCCUGGUCAGUACCUAAAUGGGUGAUCGCUUGGGAAUACCAGAUACUGUAAG